CCUACGUGUGGCUGCAGUGGGGAAUAUUGGACAAUGGGCGAAAGCCUGAUCCAGCCAUGCCGCGUGUGUGAAGAAGGCCUUCGGGUUGUAAAACACUUUCAGUGGGGAAGAAAGCCUUGGGGCUAAUACCCUCGAGGAAGGACAUCACCCACAGAAGAAGCACCGGCUAACUCCGUGCCAGCAGCCGCGGUAAUACGGAGGGGUGCGAGCGUUAAUCGGAAUUACUGGGCGUAAAGCGCGCGUAGGCGGUCUGAUAAGCCGGUUGUGAAAGCCCCGGGCUCAACCUGGGAACGGCAUCCGGAACUGUCAGGCUAGAGUGCAGGAGAGGAAGGUAGAAUUCCCGGUGUAGCGGUGAAAUGCGUAGAGAUCGGGAGGAAUACCAGUGGCGAAGGCGGCCUUCUGGACUGACACUGACGCUGAGGUGCGAAAGCGUGGGUAGCAAACAGGAUUAGAUACCCUGGUAGUC
This 466-nucleotide ribosomal RNA is filed under the name Vreelandella stevensii. RNAcentral describes it as "partial 16S ribosomal RNA". It matches the Rfam family "Bacterial small subunit ribosomal RNA", at positions 338 to 795 of the family's 1533-position model. Lineage: Bacteria; Pseudomonadati; Pseudomonadota; Gammaproteobacteria; Oceanospirillales; Halomonadaceae. The record is from RNAcentral.